Molecule: ribosomal RNA, 311 nt
Filed under: uncultured eukaryote
Lineage: Eukaryota
Description: partial 18S ribosomal RNA
Rfam family: Eukaryotic small subunit ribosomal RNA
Source: RNAcentral
CCCUUAGUUAUCCUAGGCCGCACGCGUGUUACAAUGACUUUUUCAGCAAGUUCUCCUGGCCCGAGAGGGUGCGGGUAAUCUGAAAUCAAAGUCGUGUUAGGGAUAGAUCUUUGCAAUUAUAGAUCUUGAACGAGGAUUUUGUAGUAAGUGCGCGUCAUCACCGCGUACUGACUGCGUCCCUGCUGUUUGUACACACCGCCCGUCGCUUCUACCGAUUGAAUGUUCCGGUGAGUAAUUUGGACCCGGGGGAGCUUGCUCCUCUGGGGAAGUUUCGCAAACCUAUGCAUUUAGAGGAAGAAGAAGUCGUAACA